CUGUGUUCGUUCCAGCAUUUUGUCUGAUUAUUUAAAAAACUAAAAAUUCGAUCUCUGGUCUUGCAGCGAUAUUGCCUAAACUGGUAUUAACUAUUCCUGGUAAAUCGCGGAGAAGAGUGGAAUGAACAAAAAAGUCAGACCGAGACUAGAACCUCCCGCAGCGUAACAAGGAAAUCUUGGAACAAAGAGACGCCGAGUGGCUCGUGUUGUCCGGUUUGGAUAUCAGCGGCAAAGCGAACGUUGUGUGUACUAUUGCAAAAUAUAUAGUGGAUCUCCACGGUUAGGAUACAGACCACAACGCUUUGGACGUAUCUUUAAAAAAGAGAAAAAUCAGAGACUUUUUGGAUUUGUCUGGGGACAUUUUAAACAUUUUGUGGCAAAUUGGAUUUAAAACAUUUCGGAUACUGGAUACCUAGUUUGAUUUGUCCACAGAGCUUGUUUAAGACGUUUUCACCUCAUUUUAGGGUUUAUUUUUAAUUAAAGGCUUCUUAAAACAUGUGUGAAAAUGUGUUUAUUAUACAAUGAGUCUUAUAUUGUCUGCUCUGACAAAAAUAAAUUAUUAUUUUAGGUCAAUUGACUGCGUGUGUUUUAUGUCAAGCGUAUGCUGUUAUGUUUAAUGACGGCUCGUGUGUGACAGCUCGUGUUUUGGCAUUCGAUGUCAGCUCUCACCCUUCCUCCCUACUGUCUCACAAGCCAUGCAUUCUUUCACAGGGGUGCGUGUUGUAAAGCGAGUAAAGAUUUCUAAAACCCAAUGUGGGUAAAAUAAUUCCCCAUUACGGGGGUCAAAAAAGUAAAUGUUUAUUUUAGAUUUAGACAAAUCAUGAACAAUGCUAUGAUUAAAACGUUUGUUUGUAACAUCACAAGUUAUUUAAUUAAAUAUUCCGUAUACGGGUAUAGUUUAAGCAAUGACCUGAGCCAUUACUACAAUCUUUAGACGAUAGUCUAAACUAAAUAAAUUUUUAAACGGUUCAGGAAUUCCGUGAAUCUUUUCAUAACCUACUCUAUAGUUUCACGCGUAUUAAAGAUCCGGCGGUGCCUGACAAAGCGCCGGGUGAGUGUUCAUAUAUGCGGUUUUAAAAUAACCUUAAUAAAUGUAAUUCUGUCCACUAUGGCAAAAUAGUGGGUUUAUUUUAGAUUUAGGGGAUUCUUUAACCAAGGCUCUGAUUAAGACAUGCACCGAUGGUGACAGAGAACUUAUAUCUGACGUUAAUAAACUUUUUAAAAUGUUUUUAAGACGUCUUCAACUCAUUUUAGGGGUUUAUUUUUAAUUAAACGCUUCUUAAAACAUGUGUGAAUAUGUGUAUAUUAUACAAAGAGUCUUAUAUUGUCUGCUCUGACAAAAAUAAAGUAUUAUUUUAGAUUUAGGUCAAUUGACUGCGUGU
Paramisgurnus dabryanus is the source of this 1382-nucleotide long non-coding RNA. RefSeq lists it as uncharacterized. The record is from RefSeq and is a predicted model, not a curated record. Lineage: Eukaryota; Metazoa; Chordata; Actinopteri; Cypriniformes; Cobitidae.